GGGAAUGAAUUGGGCAAUGGACGCAAGUCUGACCCAGCCAUGCCGCGUGCAGGAUGAAGGCGUUAUGCGUCGUAAACUGCUUUUAUACAGGAAGAAACGACUCUUGCGAGAGGCAUUGACGGUACUGUAUGAAUAAGCACCGGCUAACUCCGUGCCAGCAGCCGCGGUAAUACGGAGGGUGCAAGCGUUGUCCGGAUUUAUUGGGUUUAAAGGGUGCGCAGGUGGUUUAUUAAGUCAGUGGUGAAAGACGGUCGCUCAACGAUUGCAGUGCCAUUGAAACUAGUAGACUUGAGUAAAGUAGAGGUGGGCGGAAUUGAUAGUGUAGCGGUGAAAUGCAUAGAUAUUAUCAAGAACUCCAAUUGCGUAGGCAGCUCACUUGGCUUUUACUGACACUCAUGCACGAAAGUGUGGGUAUCAAACAGGAUUAGAUACCC
Molecule: ribosomal RNA, 434 nt
Filed under: Bacteroidetes bacterium SCGC AAA023-E22
Lineage: Bacteria; Pseudomonadati; Bacteroidota
Description: bacterial SSU rRNA
Rfam family: Bacterial small subunit ribosomal RNA
Source: RNAcentral